GACGAACGCUGGCGGCGUGCUUAACACAUGCAAGUCGAACGGAAAGGCCCUGCUUUUGUGGGGCGCUCGAGUGGCGAACGGGUGAGUAAAACGUGAGUAACCUGCCCUUGACUUUGGGAUAACUUCAGGAAACUGGGGCUAAUACAGGAUAGGAGCUCCUGCUGCAUGGUGGGGGAUGGAAAGUUUCGGCGGUUGGGGAUGGACUCGAGGCUUAUCAGCUUGUUGGUGGGGUAGUGGCUUACCAAGGCUUUGACGGGUAGCCGGCCUGGGAGGGUGACCGGCCACAUUGGGACUGAGAUACGGCCCAGACUCCUACGGGAGGCAGCAGUGGGGAAUAUUGCACAGUGGGCGGAAGCCUGAUGCGGCAACGCCGCGUGCGGGAUGACGGCCUUCGGGUUGUAAACCGCUUUCGCCUGUGACGAAGCGUGAGUGACGGUAAUGGGUAAAGAAGCACCGGCUAACUACGUG
This 468-nucleotide ribosomal RNA is filed under the name uncultured bacterium. RNAcentral describes it as "partial 16S ribosomal RNA". It matches the Rfam family "Bacterial small subunit ribosomal RNA", at positions 28 to 507 of the family's 1533-position model. The record is from RNAcentral.